GGCGGUAGGCUUAACACAUGCAAGUCGUGCGAGAAAGUAUCUUCGGAUAUGAGUAGAGCGGCGGACGGGUGAGUAACGCGUAGGAAUCUACCUAGUAGAAGGGGAUAGCCCGGGGAAACCCGGAUUAAUACCGUAUACCUCCUUUGGGAGAAAGAAGGCCUCUCUUUAGAAGCUUUCGCUACUAGAUGAGCCUGCGUAAGAUUAGCUUGUUGGUGAGGUAAAGGCUCACCAAGGCAACGAUCUUUAGCUGGUCUGAGAGGACGAUCAGCCACAUUGGGACUGAGACACGGCCCAGACUCCUACGGGAGGCAGCAGUGGGGAAUAUUGGACAAUGGGCGCAAGCCUGAUCCAGCCAUACCGCGUGUGUGAAGAAGGCCUUCGGGUUGUAAAGCACUUUAAGCAGGGAGAAAAAGUUAUAAGUUAAUACCUUAUAACCCUGAUGUUACCUGCAGAAUAAGCACCGGCUAAUUCCGUGCCAGCAGCCGCGGUAAUACGGAAGGUGCAAGCGUUAAUCGGAAUUACUGGGCGUAAAGCGCGCGUAGGUGGUUUGUUAAGUUGGAUGUGAAAGCCCUGGGCUCAACCUAGGAACUGCAUCCAAAACUAACUCACUAGAGUACGAUAGAGGGAGGUAGAAUUCAUAGUGUAGCGGUGGAAUGCGUAGAUAUUAUGAAGAAUACCAGUGGCGAAGGCGGCCUCCUGGAUCUGUACUGACACUGAGGUGCGAAAGCGUGGGUAGCGAACAGGAUUAGAUACCCUGGUAGUCCACGCCGUAAACGAUGACAACUAGCUGU
RNAcentral lists this ribosomal RNA (791 nucleotides) under uncultured Gammaproteobacteria bacterium. RNAcentral's name for it is "bacterial SSU rRNA". It matches the Rfam family "Bacterial small subunit ribosomal RNA", at positions 38 to 823 of the family's 1533-position model. The record is from RNAcentral. Lineage: Bacteria; Pseudomonadati; Pseudomonadota; Gammaproteobacteria.